Molecule: ribosomal RNA, 253 nt
Filed under: uncultured bacterium
Lineage: Bacteria
Description: partial 16S ribosomal RNA
Rfam family: Bacterial small subunit ribosomal RNA
Source: RNAcentral
UACGUAGGUGGCAAGCGUUGUCCGGAUUUACUGGGCGUAAAGAGCGCGCAGGCGGUCGUUCAAGUCGCGUGUGAAAGCCCCCGGCUCAACUGGGGAGGGUCACGCGAUACUGAUCAACUCGAAGGCAGGAGAGGGAUGCAGAAUUCCAGGUGUAGCGGUGAAAUGCGUAGAUAUCUGGAGGAAUACCGGUGGCGAAGGCGGCAUCCUGGACCGACAUUGACGCUGAACGGCGAAAGCUAGGGGAGCAAACGGG